AGACGAGAUAGGAUCAAGCAAUCAGAAACGUUGUAGUCUUUUAUAACUUCGCUAGGAUGGAUCGGACUACAUUCAGUACUAUAGGGAUCAAGUCUUUGGUUCUGGGGGAGUAUGUCGCAGACUGAACUUAAAGAAAUGACGAAGGCAGCGCAGAUUGAGCUUCCGCCUAAUUCGACUCAACACGGGGAACUAACAAGUCAGAUGUGGUAAGGAUGACAGGAUUGAUAGCUCUUUCUGCUAUAGGUGGUGGUGCAUGCCGUCUUAGUUGGUGGAGUGAUUUGUCUGGUUAAUCCGAUAACGAACGAGACCUUAACCUGCUAAUUAGUCAUUCUCAUUUUAUGGGGCACGACUUUUUAGAGGGACUAUGCAUAUCAAAGAAGAAGGAAGAUUGAGGCAAUAACAGGUCUGUGAUGCCAUUAUAUGUCCUGGGCUGCACGCGUGCUACACUGAUGCAUACAAACAAGUGCCUAGCUAGACAUAGUAUGGCAAUCUGGAAUAUGCAUCGUGGUGGGGAUAGAUCUUUGCAAUUAUAGAUCUUGAACGAGGAAUUCCUAGUAAGUGCAAGUCAUCAUCUGCAUUGACUAUGUCCCUGCCCUUAAUACACACCGCCCGUCGCUCCUACCGAUACCGGGUGAUCCGGUGAACCUUGGACCUUCAUUGGAAAAACAAGUUUCUUUUAUCACCAAGAAGGAGAAGUCGAACAAGUAC
RNAcentral lists this ribosomal RNA (708 nucleotides) under uncultured rumen protozoa. RNAcentral's name for it is "bacterial SSU rRNA". It matches the Rfam family "Eukaryotic small subunit ribosomal RNA", at positions 981 to 1801 of the family's 1831-position model. The record is from RNAcentral.